Molecule: ribosomal RNA, 1140 nt
Filed under: Enterococcus faecium
Lineage: Bacteria; Bacillati; Bacillota; Bacilli; Lactobacillales; Enterococcaceae
Description: bacterial SSU rRNA
Rfam family: Bacterial small subunit ribosomal RNA
Source: RNAcentral
GGAGCUUGCUCCACCGGAAAAAGAAGAGUGGCGAACGGGUGAGUAACACGUGGGUAACCUGCCCAUCAGAAGGGGAUAACACUUGGAAACAGGUGCUAAUACCGUAUAACAAUCAAAACCGCAUGGUUUUGAUUUGAAAGGCGCUUUCGGGUGUCGCUGAUGGAUGGACCCGCGGUGCAUUAGCUAGUUGGUGAGGUAACGGCUCACCAAGGCCACGAUGCAUAGCCGACCUGAGAGGGUGAUCGGCCACAUUGGGACUGAGACACGGCCCAAACUCCUACGGGAGGCAGCAGUAGGGAAUCUUCGGCAAUGGACGAAAGUCUGACCGAGCAACGCCGCGUGAGUGAAGAAGGUUUUCGGAUCGUAAAACUCUGUUGUUAGAGAAGAACAAGGAUGAGAGUAACUGUUCAUCCCUUGACGGUAUCUAACCAGAAAGCCACGGCUAACUACGUGCCAGCAGCCGCGGUAAUACGUAGGUGGCAAGCGUUGUCCGGAUUUAUUGGGCGUAAAGCGAGCGCAGGCGGUUUCUUAAGUCUGAUGUGAAAGCCCCCGGCUCAACCGGGGAGGGUCAUUGGAAACUGGGAGACUUGAGUGCAGAAGAGGAGAGUGGAAUUCCAUGUGUAGCGGUGAAAUGCGUAGAUAUAUGGAGGAACACCAGUGGCGAAGGCGGCUCUCUGGUCUGUAACUGACGCUGAGGCUCGAAAGCGUGGGGAGCAAACAGGAUUAGAUACCCUGGUAGUCCACGCCGUAAACGAUGAGUGCUAAGUGUUGGAGGGUUUCCGCCCUUCAGUGCUGCAGCUAACGCAUUAAGCACUCCGCCUGGGGAGUACGACCGCAAGGUUGAAACUCAAAGGAAUUGACGGGGGCCCGCACAAGCGGUGGAGCAUGUGGUUUAAUUCGAAGCAACGCGAAGAACCUUACCAGGUCUUGACAUCCUUUGACCACUCUAGAGAUAGAGCUUCCCCUUCGGGGGCAAAGUGACAGGUGGUGCAUGGUUGUCGUCAGCUCGUGUCGUGAGAUGUUGGGUUAAGUCCCGCAACGAGCGCAACCCUUAUUGUUAGUUGCCAUCAUUCAGUUGGCCAUUCUAGCAAGACUGCCGGUGACAAACCGGAGGAAGGUGGGGAUGACGUCAAAUCAUCA